Molecule: ribosomal RNA, 376 nt
Filed under: Acanthamoeba sp.
Lineage: Eukaryota; Discosea; Longamoebia; Acanthamoebidae
Description: SSU rRNA
Rfam family: Eukaryotic small subunit ribosomal RNA
Source: RNAcentral
UCUGCCACCGAAUACAUUAGCAUGGGAUAAUGGAAUAGGACCCUGUCCUCCUAUUUUCAGUUGGUUUUGGCAGCGCGAGGACUAGGGUAAUGAUUAAUAGGGAUAGUUGGGGGCAUUAAUAUUUAAUUGUCAGAGGUGAAAUUCUUGGAUUUAUGAAAGAUUAACUUCYGCGAAAGCAUCWRCCAAGGAUGUUUUCAUUAAUCAAGAACGAAAGUUAGGGGAUCGAAGACGAUCAGAUACCGUCGUAGUCUUAMCCUUAACGAUGCCGACCAGCGAUUAGGAGACGUUGAAUACCCCUCCCCACCAUCGGCGCGGUCGUCCUUGGCGUCUCGGUAUCGKCCGGGGCGCGGGAAAGGCCUACMCARCGGUGGUUCCG